Long non-coding RNA from Mauremys reevesii (Reeves's turtle), 1297 nucleotides. RefSeq lists it as uncharacterized. Lineage: Eukaryota; Metazoa; Chordata; Testudines; Geoemydidae. The record is from RefSeq and is a predicted model, not a curated record. The transcript is spliced from 4 exons.
CACAUUUGGGGAAAUCUGUUGAGCUUGAUCGGUGGACUAAUAUAAAGGGGAGCGAUCCUGCCAACUGGCAUACUAAUUUGUAAGGGAGUUAGAGAAAAGUCAUUGUUCCGCCAUGCUGGAAGGACAGGAGACACUGGAUUUAAUUAGGCCACAACUUUAUCCUUAAAUAUCUGGGAAUAACCAGCAGAUGAAACUGUACAGUGCAAGUAACUGCAUAAUCAUUUCAAUAUAUUCCCAAGGAGCUUCUGUCAGCCCUCUCCCUUACCCAUCUGGUCCCAACCAACCUGCUGCUGGGACCUCACCAUCCCCUCUCUUGAAUGAGGGUUUGUGGGGGGAGGGGAGUUUGGCUCCCUGCCAUACCAGUCGUAAGAGUCCUAAGCCCCCCUCAUCCCAUCCCCUGGUUUCUUUUCUUUUAAAGAAUACAUCCUUUACCAAUCCAUUUUCUCUGAUUGCUGCAUCCCUUCCCUAUAGAGUACCUGAACUGGACAUCUGUCCCACAUUUACAUAAUGAGUUUCAAAGUCAUAGCCUAACUCCCAUUUCAAGUUUGCCCAAAUGAAGGCCCCCAACCUGCUGAAGGGAAGGCCAAAAAAACAAACAAACAAACAAAAAACCACUUUGCCUUGGCCAAUCUUGUGGUAAGGGAAAAAUUCCUCCCCAGUCCCCCUAGAAAGGAGCAGCUAGCACAGUGUUGCCCACAGCAGAUCCUUACAGAACCCGGUAUUUCACUACAUCCAUGGGUUGAAGGAUUGGUGCUGCUCCACUUGGUCCAAGUAAAAGACUUUUCAUGCACCGGCACUACCUAUAUAAUCUCUCACUCCUUUUCUGAUCACCUGCAGGAGGGACACACUUUUUCCAGCAAGCCAGAUAACAGCCCACACUGCGAUGAGUCCCGUGAGAGAAAAUGGGACUCCUUCAUCUGACUACAUUGGUAGAACCAGACUGCACAGAGGAAUUAAACGGAACAACACUGCUGCUUAAAAGAGAAAAAAGGAGGUCUUUCUGCCUCCCUUGUGUGUUUCUUCUAUUUCUGUCAGCCCAGUGUGGAAUUGUUUGGUUGCUGAUGGCACACAGUGAAACUAGAAAAUUGUGGAAUUUCAGGGAGAGUGAGCUCAAUGUGUUCUAUAACUGCUUGCGUGUUUCAGAAAAAGGACGACAAAAAUGUCAGAACAUUAAUCAUUCUCAGCAGAGGGAGCUCUGGGAUGCACUUCCAUGCAUAUAUCGUAAUUAAAGGUAACUAAGCAGGAAGAUCUUCACCAUUAGACAAGAGGCCAUAACAAGGGGAAAUUUGCAAACCAG